AUUGAACGCUGGCGGCAUGCCUUACACAUGCAAGUCGAACGGUAACAGGUUAAGCUGACGAGUGGCGAACGGGCGGGUAAUGUAUCAGAACGUGCCCAGUCUUGGCGGUUAACUGCUCGAAAGAGCAGCUAAUACCGCAUAUGACCCGAGGGUGAAAGCGGGGGAUUGCUAGAGCUCUCGCGAUUGCAACGGGGGAUAUCAGAUUAGGUAGUUGGUGAGGUAAAGGCUCACCAAGCCGACGAACUGUAGCUGGUCUGAGAGGACGACCAGCCACACUGGGACUGAGACACGGCCCAGACUCCUACGGGAGGCAGCAGUGGGGAAUUUUGGACAAAGGGCGCAAGCCUGAUCCAGCCAUGCCGCGUGCGGGAAGAAGGCCUUCGGGUUGUAAACCGCUUUUGUCAGGGAAGAAAAGGUUCUGGCUAAUACCUGGGACUCAUGACGGUACCUGAAGAAUAAGCACCGGCUAACUACGUG
RNAcentral lists this ribosomal RNA (477 nucleotides) under uncultured bacterium. Its description in RNAcentral is "partial 16S ribosomal RNA". It matches the Rfam family "Bacterial small subunit ribosomal RNA", at positions 30 to 507 of the family's 1533-position model. The record is from RNAcentral.